RNAcentral lists this long non-coding RNA (329 nucleotides) under Serinus canaria (Common canary). Its description in RNAcentral is "lncRNA (ENSSCAG00000016166.1)". Lineage: Eukaryota; Metazoa; Chordata; Aves; Passeriformes; Fringillidae. The record is from RNAcentral.
CGGAGCCCGGGGCGGCCGCGGCUGAGGCGGAAAAUCCGGCCCUGAACUCCUGCCGGGUUUAUGGGGACAGUGUUUUACACCCAGGAAGAUGAAGGCAGAUGGCCUUGGAUGUGACACUUCAUGGAAAUAAGAGGCAAAAAAUAUUCCAGGGUAUGAAAUCUCCCCGUAUUUUCAGUCUUUUUUGGCAAAAAAAGCUGAUUCUCCAGUCCUGGGAUGCAGAGUGUGUUGUCUGUCACUGGCGUUUUAUCCUCAUGCUGAGCUUGGACUGCCUGGCCAAAGAACAAGAGAUUUUGUCUUCUUGCACAUUUGAUGAAGUGCAGCAAGAGUGA